CCUACGGGUGGCUGCAGUGGGGAAUAUUGGACAAUGGGGGGAACCCUGAUCCAGCCAUGCCGCGUGUGUGAAGGAGGCCCUCGGGUUGUAAAGCACUUUCAGUGAGGAAGAACGCCUGGUGGUUAAUACCCAUCAGGAAAGACAUCACUCACAGAAGAAGCACCGGCUAACUCCGUGCCAGCAGCCGCGGUAAUACGGAGGGUGCGAGCGUUAAUCGGAAUUACUGGGCGUAAAGCGCGCGUAGGUGGCUUGAUAAGCCGGUUGUGAAAGCCCCGGGCUCAACCUGGGAACGGCAUCCGGAACUGUCAAGCUAGAGUGCAGGAGAGGAAGGUAGAAUUCCCGGUGUAGCGGUGAAAUGCGUAGAGAUCGGGAGGAAUACCAGUGGCGAAGGCGGCCUUCUGGACUGACACUGACACUGAGGUGCGAAAGCGUGGGUAGCAAACAGGAUUAGAUACCCCAGUAGUC
RNAcentral lists this ribosomal RNA (465 nucleotides) under Vreelandella stevensii. RNAcentral describes it as "partial 16S ribosomal RNA". It matches the Rfam family "Bacterial small subunit ribosomal RNA", at positions 338 to 795 of the family's 1533-position model. Lineage: Bacteria; Pseudomonadati; Pseudomonadota; Gammaproteobacteria; Oceanospirillales; Halomonadaceae. The record is from RNAcentral.